Molecule: long non-coding RNA, 968 nt
Organism: Sorghum bicolor (sorghum)
Lineage: Eukaryota; Viridiplantae; Streptophyta; Magnoliopsida; Poales; Poaceae
Exons: 2
Source: RefSeq, a predicted model, not a curated record
CUCUGUUUUGCAUGUGGAUCCAUUCGAGAAGACCCAUCCCCUGCUCGGAACGAGGGCAGCAGUGAUGAACUGAUGAUCAUGAUGCAUGCACCGCCGUUGCCCAUAAAGCAGAGAGAUCAUUCCGGAUAAGGAUCUGAAGAAACGGACAGUCAGAAGAGGGUGCCCGGGGUCUGUCCCCGUGUGUAUCACAAUACACGGCUAUUCGACUAUUCCUCUCUGAACGGCGGCUGUUCUGUUUGCAUCUCGAGAGAGAGAGAGAGAGAGAGAGAGGAAGGAGAAGAGAAGAGAACCACGCACGCUGUUGCUCCAAGUCCCGGACCCGAGUGACGCUCUGUUUUCCCUCGACGCGACGCAGAUGCCCGGCGGCCAAGCACGCCGCAUCCGAGCCCAGACAAUCACCGGAGACGAAAGAGAAAAAGCAGGUGGAGAGGGAGGGGAGGGGAUCCAUUCCAUGGUUGGUUGGGAGCACCGCCCGGGGCUUCAGUCGUCAUCUGCCAGAUAUCAGUCAGUCUGUGUGCUGCUGCAGAAGAAAAUGAAACUGAGAAUUCUGCCUUAGUAGUGGGGGCGGUUCCACAUCGGACGGAUCAAUGUCACCCAUCAGUCGAGCUAUAUCAUCCAAUGAUAUUGGUAUGCUGCAUUUUCAUUCAUUUGGGCAUUAGAUGAGUCAUAACUGUUGCAGAUUCAGUUAUGUUAUCUACUGCAUGCUUAUUCACUUCUUAGUACUGAACCACUGAUUAUUACCUUGAGUCGUCAUCUAGCAAGAAAGAACUAUUUGGAGUAGUUAUUGAGUCGUCUGUUGUCAUCGUUCUCAUCUUUCCAAUCACCUGAAAUAAAGUUGUCUCUUGUUAAGAUGUUCUCUUUAGCAACACAUAGAUGCAUUUCACGCAUUCAGGCAGGUGAAUGCACUUGGAAUUGUGUGUAUGUCUAAUCAUGUGAAGUUAGCAGACACGCACAUACCUCUUGAGAUA